RNAcentral lists this ribosomal RNA (504 nucleotides) under uncultured bacterium. Its description in RNAcentral is "bacterial SSU rRNA". It matches the Rfam family "Bacterial small subunit ribosomal RNA", at positions 28 to 490 of the family's 1533-position model. The record is from RNAcentral.
GACGAACGCUGGCGGCGUGCCUAAUACAUGCAAGUCGAACGCACUCUCGUUUAGAUUGAAGGAGCUUGCUCCUGAUUGAUAAACAUUUGAGUGAGUGGCGGACGGGUGAGUAACACGUGGGUAACCUGCCCUAAAGUGGGGGAUAACAUUUGGAAACAGGUGCUAAUACCGCAUAAAACCUAACACCGCAUGGUGUAGGGUUGAAAGAUGGUUUCGGCUAUCACUUUAGGAUGGACCCGCGGUGCAUUAGUUAGUUGGUGAGGUAAAGGCUCACCAAGACCGUGAUGCAUAGCCGACCUGAGAGGGUAAUCGGCCACACUGGGACUGAGACACGGCCCAGACUCCUACGGGAGGCAGCAGUAGGGAAUCUUCCACAAUGGACGAAAGUCUGAUAGAGCAAACGCCGCGUGAGUGAAGAAGGUUUUCGGAUCGUAAAACUCUGUUGUUGGAGAAGAAUGUAUCUGAUAGUAACUGAUCAGGUAGUGACGGUAUCCAACCAGAAAG